RNA transcript from Malania oleifera, 1767 nucleotides. It is a transcript of the gene named ceramide synthase 1 LOH3-like, with no coding region annotated. The record is from RefSeq and is a predicted model, not a curated record. Lineage: Eukaryota; Viridiplantae; Streptophyta; Magnoliopsida; Santalales; Ximeniaceae. The transcript is spliced from 7 exons.
UCUUUCUUGGAAAAAUUGGGAACCCCCACGAGCAAUCCCAAUCAUAUUGAGCCGAACUGUGAGCCUAGAGAGAGAGAGAGAGAGAGAGAGAGAGAGGCGAAUGCCUCUGCGAGACUGCUGCUUUAUCUGAUCCAGCAGUACUGAAUCUCUCUCGGAUUCUUUCGGUCAGUACGGGAAAAAUCUGAGAUGGGUUUGAUCGAAUUUGAACUCGCGAAAUCAAUCAACUGGGGGUACGAAUCCUUCCCUGCGUAUGAAGAUUUCGCAGUUCUUCCUCUCUUCGUUGUCUUCUUCCCAUCUGUUCGGUUUCUUCUCGACAGAUUUGUGUUUGAGGUACUGCGUUUCUGGUUCUGAUUUUAGUUGUAGUGGCUGUUUUGAUUUUAUUUGGAUAUGAAGAUUCCGCAUUUCUUCCUUUUUUUCUUUGUUUUUUGCUGUUUUCUUCCCUUUUGUUCCGUUUCUUCUCGACAGAUUUGUGUUUGAGGUAUUGGCAAGAAGAUUGAUUUUUAGAAAAGAGCAUCAGAUGUUAGAUGGAGAGACAAAUGAAAGGAGAAAGAAGCUGCGGAAAUUCAAGGAAUCUGCAUGGAAAUGUGUCUAUUUUCUUUCGGCAGAGCUUCUAGCACUCUCUGUGACCUAUGACGAGCCAUGGUUCACUAAAACAAGAUAUUUUUGGGUAGGACCUGGUGAACAGUUGUGGCCUGACCAAAAAAUAAAGUUGAAAUUGAAAGGGCUGUAUAUGUAUGCUGCUGGAUUCUACACGUACUCCAUUUUUGCUUUGAUUUUCUGGGAAACAAGGCGUUCCGAUUUUGGUGUGUCAAUGGGUCACCAUUUUGCAACCGUCAUUCUCAUUGCACUGUCUUACAUAUUCAGGUUUGCUCGUGUUGGUUCGAUUGUUUUAGCUCUUCAUGAUGCCAGUGAUGUGUUUCUGGAAGUUGGGAAGAUGUCAAAAUACAGUGGUGCAGAGGGGAUUGCCAGCUUCUCAUUUAUUCUUUUUGUUUUGUCUUGGAUCCUACUUCGACUUAUUUACUUCCCAUUCUGGAUUAUUUGGAGUACAAGCUAUGAAGCUAUCCUUACCUUGGACAAGGAGAAACACCCGGUGGAUGGACCAAUAUAUUAUUAUGUAUUCAAUAGUCUUCUAAUCUGCUUACUUGUUUUACAUAUUUAUUGGUGGAUGCUGAUAUUUCGGAUGCUUGUUAAACAAAUCCAAGCAAGAGGCAAGCUUAGUGAGGACGUUCGUUCUGAUUCUGAAGGUGAAGACGAGCAUGAAGACUGAUCUGGAUACAAGAUUUGCCACAAGCCACACAACUCAUGGUGAAGGUGUGCUGAAAAUUAUAAAAACUGGGAGCUGCUAAGAUUUGCACAAUCUCAUGUGCUUGCUCAUGUUGAAGUGAUUGCACGCAAUCAGAAAGCUUCCCUGCAAAUGGGAGGAAUUUGUGUAUUUAUUUGAGAUGAGGUGCGGAAGCAUGUUCAAAAGUUGCAAUUGGCUGAUGUAACAGAUCAACAUAGGUUCCAUUCUACAUGCUCGAGGAUGAGUUGCAAGGAAAUUUAUGAGCUAGAACUCUGAAACUUCUUGCAAUCUUGAGCCUGCUGCUGGUAGUGAUAGUUGUAAAUUAAUUCAUUUGAUUUUUUCCCCACCCUAGAAGCCUUCGGUGGAACUUGUAAUUUAAAUUUAACCCUUUCAAUUUUACAUGAAGCAUCCAACCAUGAUAAGAUUUUGGUUCAGAAGUUUUUCAGUUGCUUAAUAAUUACAAGGCUAAGCCACGUUUGAAGUUA